CCUACGGGGGGCUGCAGUGGGGAAUAUUGGACAAUGGGCGAAAGCCUGAUCCAGCCAUGCCGCGUGUGUGAAGAAGGCCUUCGGGUUGUAAAGCACUUUCAGUGGGGAAGAAAGCCUUGGGGCUAAUACCCUCGAGGAAGGACAUCACCCACAGAAGAAGCACCGGCUAACUCCGUGCCAGCAGCCGCGGUAAUACGGAGGGUGCGAGCGUUAAUCGGAAUUACUGGGCGUAAAGCGCGCGUAGGCGGUCUGAUAAGCCGGUUGUGAAAGCCCCGGGCUCAACCUGGGAACGGCAUCCGGAACGGUCAGGCUAGAGUGCAGGAGAGGAAGGUAGAAUUCCCGGUGUAGCGGUGAAAUGCGUAGAGAUCGGGAGGAAUACCAGUGGCGAAGGCGGCCUUCUGGACUGACACUGACGCUGAGGUGCGAAAGCGUGGGUAGCAAACAGGAUUAGAUACCCCGGUAGUC
RNAcentral lists this ribosomal RNA (465 nucleotides) under Vreelandella stevensii. RNAcentral describes it as "partial 16S ribosomal RNA". It matches the Rfam family "Bacterial small subunit ribosomal RNA", at positions 338 to 795 of the family's 1533-position model. Lineage: Bacteria; Pseudomonadati; Pseudomonadota; Gammaproteobacteria; Oceanospirillales; Halomonadaceae. The record is from RNAcentral.